AGAGUUUGAUCAUGGCUCAGGACGAACGCUGGCGGCGUGCCUAAUGCAUGCAAGUCGCACGCAUCCUUCGGGAUGAGUGGCGCACGGCUGAGGAACGCGUGACUGACCUGCCCCGGUGUGGGGGAUAACAGGCCGAAAGGUCUGCUAAUCCCGCAUACGAUCACUUCGGUGAGGAAAGCCUUCGGGCGCACUGGGAGGGGGUCGCGCCCCAUUAGUUAGUUGGUGUGGUAAUGGCGCACCAAGACGAUGAUGGGUUCCGGGUCUGAGAGGACGAUCCGGCAGACUGGGACUGAGACACGGCCCAGACUCCUACGGGGGGCAGCAGCAAGGAAUUUUCGGCAAUGGGCGCAAGCCUGACCGAGCAACGCCGCGUGCAGGAUGACGGCUUUCGGGUUGUAAACUGCUUUCGAGUGGGACGAUACUGACGGUACCACUAAAAUCAGGUCCGGCUAACUACGUGCCAGCAGCCGCGGUAAUACGUAGGGACCAAGCGUUGUCCGGAAUUACUGGGCGUAAAGCGCGUGCAGGCGGAUGGGGAUGUGCCAUGUGAAAGCGCCGUGUUCAACGCGGCGAGGCCACGGUAGACACUUCAUCUUGAGGCUCCGAGAGGGUGGUAGAAUUCCCGGUGUAGUGGUGAAAUGCGUAGAUAUCGGGAGGAAUACCAAUGGCGAAGGCAGCCACCUGGCGGAGACCUGACGCUGAGACGCGACGGCGUGGGGAGCAAACAGGAUUAGAUACCCUAGUAGUCC
Molecule: ribosomal RNA, 749 nt
Filed under: uncultured bacterium
Lineage: Bacteria
Description: bacterial SSU rRNA
Rfam family: Bacterial small subunit ribosomal RNA
Source: RNAcentral